AAAAUAAUAAUAAUAAUAAUAAUCCUGACAGCACUUUGUUCCAAACAAAAUACAUGAAUGAAUGCCCUCGCUAUUUAUAUUUUUUUCCCCCUAUUUCCUAUUUCUACUUGUGUGUCAACCACAAUCCCUAAUACUCUCCAACAAAACAUACAAGUUGACAACAAAAAAAAACUCAGACAUAUAUUAUCAUGACUCCCAGAAGAGCUCAAAAUCAUUACUGUACAGUGACCGGUCUUGAAUCUCCAAAUUUGCAACAUGCCAAUUAAUAAGUUGCGAUUGCAAAAUCUUACAGAGAACCAGUCCAGCUGGAAAUAUCCACCUUUCACUUUCAUCCAUGCUAAUAUU
This 345-nucleotide unclassified non-coding RNA is filed under the name Hevea brasiliensis (rubber tree). Lineage: Eukaryota; Viridiplantae; Streptophyta; Magnoliopsida; Malpighiales; Euphorbiaceae. The record is from RNAcentral.